Molecule: long non-coding RNA, 1193 nt
Filed under: Piliocolobus tephrosceles (Ugandan red Colobus)
Lineage: Eukaryota; Metazoa; Chordata; Mammalia; Primates; Cercopithecidae
Description: lncRNA (ENSPTEG00000038434.1)
Source: RNAcentral
GCAUAUAAGUAUAAUUUUAUAUAUAUCAAUAUUAUUUAUAAAACAAAAAGAAGCUUCUAAAAAAAUAAGAACAAUAGAAUCCAAAAUUCAUUUUAUUGUUUUAUUAUAUUUGUCAUUAUGUGUUUUUUUUUAUAUAUUUGGAGAUAAAUCUUUUAUUAGAUAUCAUACAUUUUAUUUGACCUUAAUAUUAGCAACGAUUUAUUAUUUUCUUCCAUUCUUUUUAUAUAUUUUAUUAAGGCUAAUUCUUUGUUUCCUUGUAUUAAUAUUAAUAUUUACGAAAAGAAAAACACCGACACCAAAAAAAACUUUAAAAAAAUUAAAAAUAAUUAAAUUUCUUGAAUACAAAGAAUACUGUGAACAAAUGUUAUUUAACAAAAAAAAAAAUAGCUCAGAUAAUAAUUUAGAUGAAAGUUUAAAAAAAGAAGUGGAAACUGUUAAAGAUGACAAUGUUACGACAAUUGACAUUACAAAUAUGAGCAUUUUGGAUACUACCAAUAGUAAUAACAAUAGCAAUAAAAAUACUAUGGAUAUUACUAGUAUUAAUUUAAGUACUGGUUGUAAUAAUAUGGAAAACUGUAAUAAUAAAUACACAGAAGACAAUGCAAAUCCAUGUAGUGACGACAUAUAUGAUAAUCUAAAAAAUACAUCAACUAUUAUCAAUAUCAGUUCGAAGACAAACGCAAACGGAAGUACAAAAAUAAAUAAUAUAAAGUCUAAUGUACAAACAGAUAGUAACAAAAUGAGUGAUAAAAUAAUAAAUGAAACAAUGAUAAAUGAUAAGGUAAUAUAUGAUACAAGCAAUGGUGAUAGCGAUGGAAAUGGUAACAGUAACAGCAAUCAUAAUAGCCAAUAUAAAAGAGAAUUUAAUAUGUGUUUCGAUAAUAAAGAUAUAACAGAUGGUAACGAAUCAAUAGAUAAAAAUGAGAAUAAUAAAAAAAAUGGUAUAUUUGAGUAUUUUAAGAAAGUAAAAAAAAAGAAAAAAAAAAAAUUAGAAAAAGAAAAAAAUGAACUAUAUUUAACUAAAGAUAAUCAUAUAUUUUUUAUUAAUGUAGAAAAUUCAAACUAUACAUGUUCAAUUUGUUGUUCUAAAUAUUUGAAUGAAGACGAUAUUUGUAUAUUACCAUGUAAUUAUCGUCAUUAUUACCAUAAGGAAUGUAUAUUUACUUGGUUGAAAAAAAAUAAUGAUUGUCCCU